UGAUAUGCUUUCUACCCUUGUCCUUCCUGG
This 30-nucleotide non-coding RNA is filed under the name Mus musculus (house mouse). The record is from RNAcentral. Lineage: Eukaryota; Metazoa; Chordata; Mammalia; Rodentia; Muridae.